UGCAAGUCGAGCGAGCUGAAUUCAAAGAUCCCUUCGGGAUGAUUUGUUGGACGCUAGCGGCGGAUGGGUGAGUAACACGUGGGCAAUCUGCCCUAAAGACUGGGAUACCACUUGGAAACAGGUGCUAAUACCGGAUAACAACAUGAAUCGCAUGAUUCAAGUUUGAAAGGCGGCGCAAGCUGUCACUUUAGGAUGAGCCCGCGGCGCAUUAGCUAGUUGGUGGGGUAAAGGCCUACCAAGGCAAUGAUGCGUAGCCGAGUUGAGAGACUGAUCGGCCACAUUGGGACUGAGACACGGCCCAAACUCCUACGGGAGGCAGCAGUAGGGAAUCUUCCACAAUGGACGCAAGUCUGAUGGAGCAACGCCGCGUGAGUGAAGAAGGUUUUCGGAUCGUAAAGCUCUGUUGUUGGUGAAGAAGGAUAGAGGCAGUAACUGGUCUUUAUUUGACGGUAAUCAACCAGAAAGUCACGGCUAACUACGUGCCAGCAGCCGCGGUAAUACGUAGGUGGCAAGCGUUGUCCGGAUUUAUUGGGCGUAAAGCGAGCGCAGGCGGAAUGAUAAGUCUGAUGUGAAAGCCCACGGCUCAACCGUGGAACUGCAUCGGAAACUGUCAUUCUUGAGUGCAGAAGAGGAGAGUGGAAUUCCAUGUGUAGCGGUGGAAUGCGUAGAUAUAUGGAAGAACACCAGUGGCGAAGGCGGCUCUCUGGUCUGCAACUGACGCUGAGGCUCGAAAGCAUGGGUAGCGAACAGGAUUAGAUACCCUGGUAGUCCAUGCCGUAAACGAUGAGCGCUAGGUGUUGGGGACUUUCCGGUCCUCAGUGCCGCAGCAAACGCAUUAAGCGCUCCGCCUGGGGGA
Molecule: ribosomal RNA, 856 nt
Filed under: Lactobacillus delbrueckii subsp. bulgaricus
Lineage: Bacteria; Bacillati; Bacillota; Bacilli; Lactobacillales; Lactobacillaceae
Description: bacterial SSU rRNA
Rfam family: Bacterial small subunit ribosomal RNA
Source: RNAcentral